GAUUAACGCUGGCGGCGUGCAUAACACAUGCAAGUCGAACGAUGAAACUUAGUCGACUUCUUCGGAAAGACACUAAGCGGAUUAGUGGCGAACGGGUGAGUAACGCGUGAGUAACCUGCCUUACACAAGGGGAUAGCCUUUGGAAACGAAGAAUAAUACCCUAUAAAACCAUAAAAGCACAUGCUAGAAUGGUCAAAGUGAUAGCGGUGUAAGAUGGACUUGCGUCUGAUUAGCUAGUUGGUGAGAUAAAAGCUCACCAAGGCAACGAUCAGUAGCCGGCUUGAGAGAGUGUACGGCCACAUUGGGACUGAGACACGGCCCAGACUCCUACGGGAGGCAGCAGUGGGGAAUUUUGCACAAUGGGGGAAACCCUGAUGCAGCGACGCCGCGUGAUUUAGAAGGCCUUUGGGUUGUAAAAAUCUUUUGUAUAGGAAGAAAAUGACAGUACUAUACGAAUAAGGUCCGGCUAAUUACGUG
Molecule: ribosomal RNA, 477 nt
Filed under: uncultured bacterium
Lineage: Bacteria
Description: partial 16S ribosomal RNA
Rfam family: Bacterial small subunit ribosomal RNA
Source: RNAcentral